This 474-nucleotide ribosomal RNA is filed under the name Brachybacterium sp. m19. RNAcentral describes it as "bacterial SSU rRNA". It matches the Rfam family "Bacterial small subunit ribosomal RNA", at positions 26 to 512 of the family's 1533-position model. The record is from RNAcentral. Lineage: Bacteria; Bacillati; Actinomycetota; Actinomycetes; Micrococcales; Dermabacteraceae.
AGGAUGAACGCUGGCUGCGUGCUUAACACAUGCAAGUCGAACGAUGAUGACCGGGCUUGCCUGGUCUGAUUAGUGGCGAACGGGUGAGUAACACGUGAGUAACCUGCCCCUCACUUCGGGAUAACCUCGGGAAAUCGUGGCUAAUACCGGAUAUGAACUUCUACCGCAUGGUGGUUGUUGGAAAGUUUUUCGGUGAGGGAUGGACUCGCGGCCUAUCAGUUUGUUGGUGAGGUAAUGGCUCACCAAGACGAUGACGGGUAGCCGGCCUGAGAGGGCGACCGGCCACACUGGGACUGAGACACGGCCCAGACUCCUACGGGAGGCAGCAGUGGGGAAUAUUGCACAAUGGGCGAAAGCCUGAUGCAGCGACGCAGCGUGGGGGAUGACUGCCUUCGGGUUGUAAACCUCUUUCAGUAGGGAAGAAGCGAAAGUGACGGUACCUGCAGAAGAAGCGCCGGCUAACUACGUGCCAGC